ACCAUUGAUGAUAUAAUCCAAAUAAAUGAGAUGCAAUGGAUCUGAGUCCCUGUCUAACAGGGGGAACCUCUCGGUGAAAUUACACUCGUAUGAUAUUCCUGGAUUUACUGAGGU
RNAcentral lists this small nucleolar RNA (114 nucleotides) under Spinacia oleracea (spinach). RNAcentral's name for it is "Small nucleolar RNA Z278". It matches the Rfam family "Small nucleolar RNA Z278". From Rfam's summary of the family: snoZ278 is a C/D box small nucleolar RNA. Its methylation guide targets have not been reported. The record is from Rfam by way of RNAcentral. Lineage: Eukaryota; Viridiplantae; Streptophyta; Magnoliopsida; Caryophyllales; Amaranthaceae.